GAGAAUAAAAACAAAGAGAAAACAAGAGAGAAGUUAGUUUGUAAAAAGGGAGAAUAGAGUGCCGAAGCACUUAGAGUGAAGAGAAAGAAAAAUAUAGUGUUUGUGUGUGUUUUUAGUUGUGAGAGAGUGAUUGUGAGAUUAACAAAUAUUAUAUUGUGUGGCGUGUUGUUUGUCUUCUAGUCAAUUUAAUAUAAAAGUUUCUUUUCAAUUACCCAUCAUUUCUUUUAUAUUUCCAACAAGUGGUAUUAGAGCCACGUUCGAUCAAAAAUGGCAGAUAUGAUGAAGCCACAAAUUCCAAAGUUGUCAAGUAUACUCAUGAAUUUCUUAUAAGCCAUAAGAAAAAAACACAUCUAGCUUACUAUUGCACAGCAGACCGAAGCUCAAAGGUUAUUGACCUGACUAGUGCUCUCCCUCCGCCCAAGCAAUAUGUUCCUUUGGCAGCGCUCCAGAUCUAAACUUGUAGAUUUACCUCCGCCAUUUCAAUAUUUAAGUUUCCUGAAUUCACUCGUAUUCUUCAUUAAGGUAGCAUAUAUUAAGUUUUUAUGUUUUUGUCAACUUAAUUUUAUCAUGCUGUUAUAACUUUUAUUGAAGGAGGAUAUACCAUGAGUUGGUAUUGGUUUAAUAUCCGUAUGUGAUUGACUGUUGCUUUUUGUGUUUGAAUACUCCUUCUAUAUAGACUUGAGGCUAUAACUAUUACGUCAAGGACUUCUUUUUCUAUACGGAAAUUAUUAAAAAAAGACGUAUGGUGUGGAAAUAUGCAUAAGCGGCUGAAAACGCAACAUAA
RNAcentral lists this long non-coding RNA (784 nucleotides) under Nicotiana benthamiana. RNAcentral describes it as "long non-coding RNA (NBEN_LNC011139)". Lineage: Eukaryota; Viridiplantae; Streptophyta; Magnoliopsida; Solanales; Solanaceae. The record is from RNAcentral.